UUUCCAGACAGUAGCUUAUAUUGAAACAUCACUUCUCAUUUGCUGUUUGGACAAUGGUGAUGGAACUGCUGCUUUAUUGCCCACGGAGAAGCGAAGUGAAGAGUCUAAAGUGGGUCUUGCAGUUACACUGGACAAAAGAAGUUUGAAACUGAGGCUUGGUCCUGAAGAAAACAUAGAGAAGCCUGACAGAUUAUAUAUAUUCACAGCUUUGACUUAAAGGUUGCUGGUUGACCAAUAAGUAAUACAAGAAGAAAUGGUCUUUUCUGGAAUUGUCCUUCUUUCCAGGGCAGGUAUCAAUGGUGAGCAGAAGAGGAGCAGGGAAUGAUGAAAGACCACACAUUCUCCAAAAG
Molecule: long non-coding RNA, 350 nt
Filed under: Homo sapiens (human)
Lineage: Eukaryota; Metazoa; Chordata; Mammalia; Primates; Hominidae
Description: HSALNT0052374
Source: RNAcentral